CGGACCUUCACAGCUUGCGUUGAAGUGUGCUGAACACAGUUCCCGGCACUGGCGCCUCUCAUGGCCGACCUUGUCUUGUGGUGACAAUAUCAUUUUGUCCGUGUGUUGCUUUUGUCCAGUGUGUGCACAUUUUCUCCUGAAGCGCACAGUCGGAGUGUCAGUGGACAGAGGAGAAAAGCCCAGAUUAGGAGAGUUACUAUGUUCUCAGUUGCAUGGUGCGGCUUCCUGGUUGUUGGUUGCCUGUCUAAAGCCCAGAUGUGCAAAAAUAGUCUGGAACACACGUGUGCUAGAGGGAGGAUGGGUGAGAUGGCUUUUUCCUGAGUGGGGGUGAGUGAGACAAAGUGCAGGUUGGCAGCUGGCACCCGAUGGGGACAGGCCCUUUCCAGGGUAGUGACUCAGCAGGCUGGUCUGACCCCGGGGCAGUCUGCUUGGUGCCUGAAUGUUGGUUGAGGGGAAGGCAGACACAAUGCAUUUUUCUGCUGCUGCUUGUCCUUAAUCUCAUAAUCUAGCAGGAAGUCGCGGCUAUUUUUUAAGAAUACUUGAAAACAAGGUAGAAAAUGAUCACACACCAAAUGGUUUGAAUAACUCAUGGAAGGAAAAAAAACAAUAUGAUGAGGUCUGGAGAGCAGCCUGUUGUAAUUUGGGUGGCCCCAGAGACCUCACAGGGUUGGCCCCAGGGAGGCUGUGGCCCCAGGAGCACUGUGUUCUGGUCAUUCGCUGCAACUUGCCCAGUCAUGGGGCCAAGACCCUGCAAUAAGGUGCGGGCUGCCGAGACCCUAAAUCUUGGGGCUGGGGCACCGGACAGGCUGUCGUGGAGAAGGGGAAACCCUGCUGUGGACACGCUGUUGCUCCUGAUGUCACGUUUCUCAGGCUGGUGGUGAGGCCUGGACAGGCUCCUUGUGAGAAAAUUGCGCUGAUGUGUUUCGGUUUCAAGCAUCUGAGGUUGGUAACUCGCAGAGGGAAGGAGUGUGAGUGCACAUGUAUGUCAGUGUAAGCACACACAAAUCUGUGUAACAGAUGACAGAGCAAACGUGGGGAAAGAUCUGUAGUCGGUGUGUUUAAGUGAAGGGUAUCCUUGUGGUCACUGUGGUAGUAUUCCAUUUUUUUCCCUGUAGGUUUGAAAUUUCUUAAAAGACUUGUUAGAAAGACGAGGGCCCUGGACUAGAGGGGAGGCUGCUUUUCCUCUCUUGGGCCUGUCAGGAGCCCCGCAUUUCUAUCCACGAGGCUUCUCUAGAAGGCAGGUCUACAGACCCCAGAGGCUGGCAAACAGGAGUUCAGUAGAUGAACAGAAAACCAAGAAUAACCAGCCGUUGAUGAAGGAAGACCAUCUGUCCAGCCCCCUUGAUGCUCUCCCACUUGUGCAGGACGGCAGGUCAGGGGCAGAGUUUGGCCCUGCCAGAGCCGGAUCUGUGGAGGCAAGGGUCCACACAUGCAGCAUCCUGGGGGCUAUGAGACAUGGAAUAGGCAGUGGCUCAAAUUUGAACCCUUGUCUGGAGACCACUGCCAGAGCCUGCAGCUGGAGCCAAGGUGCCUGUGUGGACCUCUCAGAGGGUUUAGUCCCGGGUGGGGGGGCCCACAGUUGCUUCCCCCUGCUGUCUCCUGCCCUUUGGGAGUGGCUAGGGAGGUCAUUUUAUUAGAAACCCAACCCCUAGGCCUGUGUCUUACCAUGUUUUGGAGUCUAAAUUUAAACUACUUGUGUGUUGUAAGAAAUGCCAAGUUGACCAUGUAACACACAAUUGGUCUCUGAAAUGAUAAUUCACUGAGGUUGCCUGACUGGAGCAAAGGUAAAACCUGUGACACACGAGAGACACUUAAACCAUUCAUACCUCGUGUCCUUGCUAUAAAAAUAACACAGACAAGCCAUACCUAAGUGUUUGCAGAGCACAGUGGAGUAAGGUCUCCCUAAGCAGACCUUCAGAAAGUCUUAGCUUUGGGUGAGAACUGGAAGGAGUAGGAUUUCCAUCUGAAAGAAAAUACAAAGGAAGUGUUAGGAGUGUUGGAAGCCAUUGAAGGAGGUGUGGGCAUCAUGAGAGAACAGCAGGACGCAGACAUGAACAUAGACACAAGCCGUGGGAAUGAAGCCAGGAGGUGGCUGGAGCACCAGAGAGGCUGUGGACCCCAGCGCAGGAGGAUGAAAGGUGAAAGCUUUGUCAGAGUGGCCAGGAAAUGUGGAAAAUAGCAAUGUUCAGUGGAUGCUCCAGAAGCAGAGACGGGAGUGGGGGGAUGGUCACACGAGAAAAGGAUUUUCUGGAAGCUGAUGGAACUGACCAAAUUUCGAACAAAAUGAAUAAAAAUAAAUCUAUGCCUGAUAAGUUAGUUAAAAAAAAAAAAACAAAAAC
Long non-coding RNA from Lutra lutra (Eurasian river otter), 2339 nucleotides. RefSeq lists it as uncharacterized. The record is from RefSeq and is a predicted model, not a curated record. NCBI's taxonomy places the organism in Eukaryota, Metazoa, Chordata, Mammalia, Carnivora, Mustelidae. The transcript has 2 exons.